Molecule: long non-coding RNA, 260 nt
Organism: Gigantopelta aegis
Lineage: Eukaryota; Metazoa; Mollusca; Gastropoda; Neomphalida; Peltospiridae
Exons: 3
Source: RefSeq, a predicted model, not a curated record
AGGUAGAAUUAGACGCCAGUGAAAAGAAACGGCCAAGAGGACGACCAAAAGGCAGUAAAAACAAAAACCCACCCAAAGUGAAAAUCAUUGUUCCUAAACCAAAGAGGCCGCCGGGACGACCAAGGAAAGUGAAACCUGAGGAGAAAGAGGCCGUUCACCCAGAACAUUCAAAAGACCCCUCCGAUGAUAACACAGGCCACUGAUAUUUGUAAAUGUUAUUGCUUCGAAAUUAUGGAGAAGCAGUAUUUGUUUAGUGUGUU